Alligator mississippiensis (American alligator) is the source of this 3965-nucleotide long non-coding RNA. RefSeq lists it as uncharacterized. The transcript has 6 exons. The record is from RefSeq and is a predicted model, not a curated record. Lineage: Eukaryota; Metazoa; Chordata; Crocodylia; Alligatoridae.
CCCCCCCCCCCCUCCUUGGACUGAGGCACUGCAGGCAUGUGGCUGUGUUUCCUGAAUCCAAGAUGCCAACUUUAAACACCCCUUCGGCAGCUUCUCCCACAUGUCUGCACACUCUUCCAAGUCAUCUCUUGGGUACUGAAAGGCGGAGAUGAUGAGAGAGAAGAAAGCAACAACAACAGCAACAACUGAAAGGACUGAAUCUACAUGCUCUGAGACAAGCUGACGUCCCCCCACACACAUCAGUGCCAGCCAGCCAGCCAUGACCAGAUAAGAAGAAAUGGAAUUCCUUAUCACUUAAAAAAAAAAAGAAAAGAAAAUCCUGCAAAAGGUCAAGGAGCCAACUCACUUCUGACACCAUAUCCAGUGUUCAAGGACAAAAGAAAAGAAUGCCAAAGCAGUGCAACAUCCUGACUUUAUCCUUCCUCCACACAUGCUGGUUUCCCUUAUCGAGUGCUUCCCAGAGGAUCCAUGACUGAAAGAGUAAGGCCUAGGGUUGGAAAGAUGAAGACAGUGGAUAUUUCCUGCCUGUGGAAAUCUCCUGCCUAACUUAAUUCAGGCUCACUCUUUAUCCCAACAUUGGAAUAGUAGGCAACUAGCAGAAGACCUGAAGCUUCAGAUCUGAUUAUAGUCGCUGUCUUAAUGGAAUACUGCAAGGGUUAUUAACAUGGCAAAGGCAAUGCAGAGUUUCCCGUCCUCCCCAUUGCCCGUGAAAGAAGAAAAUGAAGAGAUGAAUUCAUGACUUCUAGGGCCAGAUGGGACCCCAACAGCCCUCUAAGCUCAACCCCCUGGAUAUGCAGGCUGUAGAAUUUCUCCCAGAAGGUGGAUGAAAGCAUAUUUUUAGAAAGAUCUUUACUCUCAUUUUAACAACACUAAGCAAUAGUUAAUCCAACAAUCUGGUAAGCUCUUCCAGUGUUCAAUCCACCCCCCCCCCCCCCCCACUGCUACGAAACUGCAUUUUAUUUCAGGGUUGAAUUUCUCAAACUUCAAAUUCCAGCUCUCAUCAGCAAGAAUGAAAAGCCUCCCAGUAUCAGAUAACCUGCCCAUGAGUCAGUAUCUAUACAUAGCCAUCACAUCACCUCUCAACCUUUCCUUUGAUAAGCUGGAUUGACUGAUCUCCUUAAGGUUCAUAUCCCAAAGCUUGUCUUCCAGUCACUGAAUGAUUUUUGUACCCCUCUUUUGAAGUGUCAACACUGGGGGCUAGAUGCACAAAAAACACUUUGGUAUUGCAAGGGUCAGCAUUGAUACACCUAAAUUUUAGGUGCCAGGAUGCUGGGUGAAAUUCAUAGACACAGGAGCCUAGGCUUCUAUACAGCACAUGUGGAGAUUUACUUGUCUUAUAACAGUAUCCCACACAAGCCAGCAUGCUAAGUUUCCAACACUAGCUAGCAGGAAAUGUUCAAUCCUCAUAGAUUCAUAGAUGUUAGGGUCGGAAGGGACUUCAAUAGAUCAUCGAGUCCGACCCCCUGCAUAGGCAGGAAAGAGUGCUGGGUCUAGAUGACCCCAGCUAGAUGCUUAUCUAACCUCCUCUUGAAGACCCCCAGGGUAGGGGAGAGCACCACCCUCCCUUGGGAGCCCGUUCCAGACCUUGGCCACUCAAACUGUGAAGAAGUUCUUCCUAAUGUCCAGUCUAAAUCUGCUCUCUGCUAGCUUGUGGCCAUUGUUUCUUGUAACCUCUGGGGGUGCCUUGGUGAAUAAACCCUCACCAAUUCCCUUCUGUGCCCCCGUGAUGAACUUAUAGGCAGCCACAAGGUCGCCUCUCAACCUUCUCUUGCGGAGGCUGAAAAGGUCCAGUUUCUCUAGUCUCUCCUCGUAGGGCUUGGUCUGCAGGCCCUUAACCAUACGAGUGGCCCUUAUCUGGACCCUCUCCAGGUUAUCCACAUCCCUCUUGAAUUGUGGCGCCCAGAAUUGCACGCAGUACUCCAACUGCUGUCUGACCAGCGCCCGAUAGAGGGGAAGUAUCACCUCCUUGGAUCUAUUCAUCAUGCAUCUGCUGAUGCACGAUAAAGUGCCAUUAGCUUUUCUGAUGGCUUCGUCACACUGACGACUCAUGUUCAUCUUGGAGUCCACUAGGACUCCAAGAUCCCUUUCCACUUCCAUGCCACCCAGCAGGUCAUUCCCUAGGCUGUAGGUGUGCUGGACAUUUUUCCUCCCUAGGUGCAGCACUUUGCAUUUCUCCUUGUUGAACUGCAUUCUGUUGUUUUCUGCCCACUUAUCUAACCUGUCCAGGUCUGCCUGCAGCUGUUCCCUGCUCUCCGGCGUGUCCACUUCUCCCCAUAGCUUUGUGUCAUCUGCAAACUUGGACAGAGUACAUUUCACUCCCUCGUCCAAGUCACUGAUGAAGACAUUAAAGAGUAUCGGUCCAAGGACCGAGCCCUGCGGGACCCCUGUGCCCACACCCUUCCAGGUCGAAACCUCCUCCUUUCUCAGCAGUCAACUAAUCAUAGUAGCACCUUAGUUUGCACCCAUCAGUUUCCCUAGGUAUCUAAAUUCUGGUGUCUUGACAAUGCCAAGCAGUUCAGUACCUACCUCAUGGACAAACUUCAUCAUGGUUCACUUUAGUAGCCAUUCUCUGGAGAUCUUGUCCAAUCUGCCUGAUGUUACAAGAGCACAGUGCUUUACACACCAUUCAAUUCAGAGGAGGAGCAGGCUUGUGUCUCCUUUUAGCUUAGUGGCUGGAGUGCUCACAUGUGCCAUGGAAGACCUGGGUUCCAAUUCUGCCCUCACCUGAGAGGACGUGGCCCCAGCAUCUCCCAGAAAAGUGCUCUAACCAUAGUGCUACCAGAUACUCUAGGAGGGUCUCUCUCAUCCCCUGUGCAAUCUGGUCAGUUUCCAUGAAAUAAUUCAAUAUUAUGGGGUGAGGGAGAGAGCAAGUGAAGAAGCCUGAAUAGUUUAGGGGUUAGGAAAGGCACCUAUUAGGUGAGAAACCUGGGUUCCUGUCUCAGUUCCAGUAACUAUUUAAUUUUUCCAUACAAAAUCCCAUGAAGCCUUCCCUAAAUCGCUGCACUUCAAGACAAUCUCCCAUUUUGCACAUGUAAUCUGCAUCUUUUUGCCCAGUUCCAUCACCUUGCAUUCAUCCUGUUAAAAUACAGUCUGCUGCCCUAUGAUCACGGGAUUCAGGGUAACAGUACCAUCUCCUCUGCAUUAUUGGUUACCUUGCCAAUCUUGGUAUCAUCACAAAAGACUCUGUGUCAUUGUCUAGAUUACUGACAAAACACUCAAUAUUGCUGGAAAAAAGCCAGCCCUUGGGACAGCUGAACAGGACCCUACAUAAGGGUCCAGGUAGAAUAAGUCACAAAAGGUUUCUUUAAGGCGAGGUACCAAUUGGGCAGAAGUGAGGAGGGAGUCCAUAUCAUUCAUAUGACAUUUAAGGCAGCAUUAGAGCAUCUAAAUCAGAACUAUGUGAUUAUCUUUCAGCCUUCUGUUGGCUUGGAAAUGGUAUUUAAAGGUUUAGUUUGCAAAUUGGCUUAUAGGCAAUAUAUAUAUGCAUUAGAAUAAUGGUUAUAGCAGCAAGGGUUAAUUGAUUUUUAAAGAGCUCGGGUUUCAAAGUCACACAGGUUUUCCAGCCUUCAGAAGCAGACAGGGUAUCUAGCCCAGGCAGGAAAGCAACGGGUUGUGAAAAUAGGGUUUUGUCUGACAACACGAGACAUGUCACUAUGACCAACCAGCGACAGCCAUGGAACAAGAGUCAUUAGAAGUCACCAGGAAAAGAAAGAAUACAAAAGAAAGAGUUUUCAAAACAGAGGAGAGGAAAGCAGUUGGCAUCAGCCCCUAACCUCCAAAGCUGCUGAUGUUGGACACUCAAGCAAAGGACGUCAAGGUGGCGUUUACGUACCAGCUGGAUGGACUGCUCACCUUGUGUAUAUUCUGGGACUAGGGCAUUUGGGUAAUGUAUGCUGUACUUGUUUUGCCUGCAUUGCUUUUAUUCCCUAUCACUGUGUAUCAAUAAACUCGCCUAUUAUCAACCA